This 906-nucleotide ribosomal RNA is filed under the name uncultured Campylobacterota bacterium. RNAcentral describes it as "bacterial SSU rRNA". It matches the Rfam family "Bacterial small subunit ribosomal RNA", at positions 28 to 947 of the family's 1533-position model. The record is from RNAcentral. Lineage: Bacteria; Pseudomonadati; Campylobacterota.
AGUGAACGCUGGCGGCGUGCUUAACACAUGCAAGUCGAACGAGAACGGUCCUAGCUUGCUAGGAUGUCAGCUAAGUGGCGGACGGGUGAGUAAUGUAUAGUUAAUCUGCCCUUCAGAGGGGGAUAACUACUGGAAACGGUAGCUAAUACCCCAUAUACCUUCUAGUGUAAUGCUAGAUGGGAAAUGUCUUUUCGCUGAAGGAUGAGACUAUAUGGUAUCAGGUAGUUGGUAGGGUAAGAGCCUACCAAGCCUAUGACGCCUAGCUGGUCUGAGAGGAUGAUCAGCCACACUGGAACUGAGACACGGUCCAGACUCCUACGGGAGGCAGCAGUGGGGAAUAUUGCACAAUGGGGGAAACCCUGAUGCAGCAACGCCGCGUGGAGGAUGACACAUUUCGGUGCGUAAACUCCUUUUAUAUGGGAAGAUAAUGACGGUACCAUAUGAAUAAGCACCGGCUAACUCCGUGCCAGCAGCCGCGGUAAUACGGAGGGUGCAAGCGUUACUCGGAAUCACUGGGCGUAAAGCGCGCGCAGGCGGCUAUUUAAGUUGGAUGUGAAAGCCUACGGCUCAACCGUAGAACUGCAUCCAAAACUAUUUAGCUAGAGUGUGGGAGAGGAAGAUGGAAUUAGUUGUGUAGGGGUAAAAUCCGUAGAGAUAACUAGGAAUACCAAAAGCGGAAGGCAAUCUUCUGGAACACUACUGACGCUGAGGCGCGAAAGCGUGGGGGAGCAAACAGGGAUUAGAUACCCUGGUAGUCCACGCAGUAAACGAUGAAUGUUAGUCGUCGGGGACCUAGUGUCUUCGUGAUGCACUAACGCAUUAAACAUUCCGCCUGGGGAGUACGGUCGCAAGAUAAAACUCAAAGGAAUAGACGGGGACCCGCACAAGUGGUGGAGCAUGGUGGUU